GGUACUCGAGUGGCGAACGGGUGAGUAACACGUGGGUGAUCUGCCUUGCACUUCGGGAUAAGCCUGGGAAACUGGGUCUAAUACCGGAUAGGACCAUGCUUUAGUGUGUGUGGUGGAAAGUUUUUUCGGUGCAAGAUGAGCCCGCGGCCUAUCAGCUUGUUGGUGGGGUAAUGGCCUACCAAGGCGACGACGGGUAGCCGGCCUGAGAGGGUGUACGGCCACAUUGGGACUGAGACACGGCCCAGACUCCUACGGGAGGCAGCAGUGGGGAAUAUUGCACAAUGGGCGCAAGCCUGAUGCAGCGACGCCGCGUGGGGGAUGAAGGCCUUCGGGUUGUAAACUCCUUUCGCUAGGGAAGAAGCCACUUGUGGUGACGGUACCUGGAUAAGAAGCACCGGCUAACUACGUGCCAGCAGCCGCGGUAAUACGUAGGGUGCGAGCGUUGUCCGGAAUUACUGGGCGUAAAGAGCUCGUAGGUGGUUUGUCGCGUCGUCUGUGAAAUCCCGGGGCUUAACUUCGGGCGUGCAGGCGAUACGGGCAUAACUAGAGUGCUGUAGGGGAGACUGGAAUUCCUGGUGUAGCGGUGAAAUGCGCAGAUAUCAGGAGGAACACCGAUGGCGAAGGCAGGUCUCUGGGCAG
RNAcentral lists this ribosomal RNA (639 nucleotides) under uncultured Actinomycetales bacterium. RNAcentral's name for it is "bacterial SSU rRNA". It matches the Rfam family "Bacterial small subunit ribosomal RNA", at positions 86 to 736 of the family's 1533-position model. The record is from RNAcentral. Lineage: Bacteria; Bacillati; Actinomycetota; Actinomycetes; Actinomycetales.